GACGAACGCUGGCGUCGUGCCUAAUACAUGCAAGUAGAACGCUGAAGAGAGGAGCUUGCUCUUCUUGGAUGAGUUGCGAACGGGUGAGUAACGCGUAGGUAACCUGCCUUGUAGCGGGGGAUAACUAUUGGAAACGAUAGCUAAUACCGCAUAACAAUGGAUGACACAUGUCAUUUAUUUGAAAGGGGCAAUUGCUCCACUACAAGAUGGACCUGCGUUGUAUUAGCUAGUAGGUGAGGUAAUGGCUCACCUAGGCGACGAUACAUAGCCGACCUGAGAGGGUGAUCGGCCACACUGGGACUGAGACACGGCCCAGACUCCUACGGGAGGCAGCAGUAGGGAAUCUUCGGCAAUGGGGGCAACCCUGACCGAGCAACGCCGCGUGAGUGAAGAAGGUUUUCGGAUCGUAAAGCUCUGUUGUAAGUCAAGAACGGGUGUGAGAGUGGAAAGUUCACACUGUGACGGUAGCUUACCAGAAAGGGACGGCUAACUACGUGCCAGCAGCCGCGGUAAUACGUAGGUCCCGAGCGUUGUCCGGAUUUAUUGGGCGUAAAGCGAGCGCAGGCGGUUUGAUAAGUCUGAAGUUAAAGGCUGUGGCUCAACCAUAGUUCGCUUUGGAAACUGUCAAACUUGAGUGCAGAAGGGGAGAGUGGAAUUCCAUGUGUAGCGGUGAAAUGCGUAGAUAUAUGGAGGAACACCGGUGGCGAAAGCGGCUCUCUGGUCUGUAACUGACGCUGAGGCUCGAAAGCGUGGGGAGCGAACAGGAUUAGAUACCCUGGUAGUCCACGCUGUAAACGAUGAGUGCUAGGUGUUGGAUCCUUUCCGGGAUUCAGUGCCGCAGCUAACGCAUUAAGCACUCCGCCUGGGGAGUACGACCGCAAGGUUGAAACUCAAAGGAAUUGACGGGGGCCCGCACAAGCGGUGGAGCAUGUGGUUUAAUUCGAAGCAACGCGAAGAACCUUACCAGGUCUUGACAUCCCGAUGCUAUUUCUAGAGAUAGAAAGUUACUUCGGUACAUCGGUGACAGGUGGUGCAUGGUUGUCGUCAGCUCGUGUCGUGAGAUGUUGGGUUAAGUCCCGCAACGAGCGCAACCCCUAUUGUUAGUUGCCAUCAUUCAGUUGGGCACUCUAGCGAGACUGCCGGUAAUAAACCGGAGGAAGGUGGGGAUGACGUCAAAUCAUCAUGCCCCUUAUGACCUGGGCUACACACGUGCUACAAUGGUUGGUACAACGAGUUGCGAGUCGGUGACGGCGAGCUAAUCUCUUAAAGCCAAUCUCAGUUCGGAUUGUAGGCUGCAACUCGCCUACAUGAAGUCGGAAUCGCUAGUAAUCGCGGAUCAGCACGCCGCGGUGAAUACGUUCCCGGGCCU
This 1369-nucleotide ribosomal RNA is filed under the name uncultured bacterium. RNAcentral's name for it is "bacterial SSU rRNA". It matches the Rfam family "Bacterial small subunit ribosomal RNA", at positions 28 to 1381 of the family's 1533-position model. The record is from RNAcentral.